RNAcentral lists this ribosomal RNA (207 nucleotides) under uncultured bacterium. RNAcentral's name for it is "partial 16S ribosomal RNA". It matches the Rfam family "Bacterial small subunit ribosomal RNA", at positions 568 to 774 of the family's 1533-position model. The record is from RNAcentral.
CGCGUAGGCGGUUUUUCAAGUCGUAUGUGAAAACUUCAGGCUUAACCUGAUGAUUGCAUAUGAAACUGGAUAACUUGAGUACAGCAGAGGAAAGUGGAAUUCCUGGUGUAGCGGUGAAAUGUGCAGAUAUCAGGAAGAACACCAGUAGCGAAGGCGGCUUUCUGGGCUGUUACUGACGCUGAGGCGCGAAAGCUAGGGGAGCGAACA